Molecule: transfer RNA, 85 nt
Filed under: Chloroflexota bacterium
Lineage: Bacteria; Bacillati; Chloroflexota
Description: Chloroflexi bacterium tRNA-Leu
Rfam family: tRNA
About the family: Transfer RNA (tRNA) molecules are approximately 80 nucleotides in length. Their secondary structure includes four short double-helical elements and three loops (D, anti-codon, and T loops).
Source: RNAcentral
GCCGGGGUGGCGGAACUGGCAGACGCAGCGGGCUUAAAACCCGCGGCCCUCGGGCUUGAGGGUUCGAAUCCCUCCCCCGGCACCA